ACUGUGUAAUUAGUUUUUACUUUCGUCUAUAUUUAAUACUUCAUGCAUACGUUUAAAGAUUUGAUGUGACGGAGAAUCUGAAAAAUUUUGUAAAAUUUUUUAGAAAUUAAACAAGGCCUAAGUAUAAGAAGAAGAUGGAUCGCUCAAAUAACACGGAGAGUUUUAUAAGCAAGCGUAACAUCAAUAAGCUAUAUAUGUGUUCGCAUAUCGACAACCUGUCAGCAGCAAGUACCGGCCCGUUUUCAAAUGGUUGGUGGGGUUGUUUUUAGAUAGAUGCAUUUGAACGAUUCCGGGGGUAUCAGCUAUCUUGUACAAGCGUAAUUGUUGCUUGCAUAUGUCCGUUGUAAAAAUAAACCUUUCUUUUUUUUGUUUUUCUUUUCAAAAAUGAAAUGAACAUGUAGACGCGCGCACGCAUGUCUAGUACCUUGUGUAUGAGGUUGAAACUAAAGGCAGCUAGCGUUGAAAUUUAGCUCUGUACAAAGUAAGUUAUUACUAGACCUUGUGUUGACACCGUUUUUGGACACGUAUCUUUUAGUACGCAUUUGGAGUUAAUGGGAUAUAGAUCGGCAGAUAGAGCAGUGGUAACCAGUCUGCAGGGGAGUUGCCGAUGGAAGAUGGUACCGAUGGAGAAACAACUGAAUAUGACUAAGUCCAGGGAUGGUGAUGUGUUCAUGCCGAUGACCAGUGCCGGUGUUUACCGAUGGCUGCGACAGGUAGUCUGCCGAUGAGUCUGAAGAAAAGCGUGGAGGUUACCGAUUGACUUGUGGCAGUAUCCCAAUCGGUUACGGAAGGAUAGUUUAAUGUUUUCCUUAGUCGUUAGAGUUCGUUUUGUAUACAGGUUCCGGGUAAUUUGGAAUUCGAAUCCUAGUCGUGUCUGAUUGUAGCUCUUUGAGCAGGGUAUAAAUGUAGACCCUAGGGCCAUGUAAUGGGAAUCAAUCUAUCAAUCAAUCAAACACAAGUUUUUACUCAUAUUCCAGCAUCUACUUUUCGACGACUUCGUCAUAUUUUUUUUCCUUUUUACUACGAGUUCUUAGGAAUUCGUCGAGUUAAACUCGGCGUGUUCUCAAGUUCCGCGUGAGCACCUCUUGGCCGUGACAUCCGGGCGCAUCGCUGUUGUCGUGACCAAAGUGUUCGAUUUACCACCUUUGUUGAUUGUAAGGUCAAAAAUCGGCUGGCACGCCUUAACGUUUG
RNAcentral lists this long non-coding RNA (1191 nucleotides) under Sorghum bicolor (sorghum). RNAcentral's name for it is "long non-coding RNA (SBIC_LNC000476)". Lineage: Eukaryota; Viridiplantae; Streptophyta; Magnoliopsida; Poales; Poaceae. The record is from RNAcentral.